Molecule: long non-coding RNA, 6096 nt
Filed under: Gallus gallus (chicken)
Lineage: Eukaryota; Metazoa; Chordata; Aves; Galliformes; Phasianidae
Description: lncRNA (ENSGALG00010027508.1)
Source: RNAcentral
CUCCGAUCCCUGCAUUAGCCUUGAGGGAGGGAGGACAGAGCUUUACUUAGCUAUGAGACCUACAGGUUGUUGGUAGGAAGUUGGUUGGGAAGCCUGAGUCCUUAGUGAAGUGUAGGUCUCCCCAUUAAUGGCUGCCCCACCUUGGGAUGCCAUUGCUUUGAGAGCAUCUUUAUCACAGAAGGUGUGCUUGCAGCUGUACCUCUGCACCUCCUUUGAGAGAAACUCCUGAGAAAAACAGUGUCCCCACAGGAGGGAAUCACAGGCAUCAUCUUCCUUAUAACUACCUAGAAUCUGCCCAAGCUUGCCCAGAAAUUAAGAAAUGUGGGCCCAGGGCCAUAAUUCCUUCAUUCAGCCUGGUUAUUUCUGGAUAUUAGCUGAAAGGCAAUGGAGUGCCAUGGAGCAGAGUUACCAGCCUGGGUGUUCCGACAUGCUGGGUUGCAGGGCAGCCCAGGCACAGGUCUGGGUCUGAGCAGGCACGUACCUGAGGGCUUUGCAUCCCUCUGCCAAAGGUGAAGGCCGCGUGGUGGUACUUCAGGUAUGUGUCAGGGCCAGAAAAUGCAGGUGGGCAUGAGAUAACACCACUGAUAGCAUUGGCCUACGAGUGAUGUGUGAAUAAAUGGAUUAUGAAAGGUAGGAAGAGAUUUCCUGACCAUCCAACAAUGCUCGCAAUGGAAGAGCUGAGGAUAGAAACAGACCUGGUGCGAUGUAUAAAAUGUGUUGCAAAAGGAUUUGUUACAGAGCAGAUGCUGGGGCUCAGAGACACAGGGUGUUUUCAAUCCCUUUUAGUAUCCCAUGAGAAAGUUAAAUGAUACGGGUGAAGAACACACAGUGAGCUGAGGAACAGCAUAAUUAAAAUGAUACACUGAAAACAAAACAGUCUUAUCUUCAGGUAGGAGGACACGAUCGCAAACAAGCGAAGCAGUGAGAGAUAAGAGUUCCUGUUCCUGCCGCUAUGAAAAUGGUUUAAAUUCAGGUUUUUUUCACACCUUUUAGAGAUGUGCACAGCCUGCUCUUUGAACUGUGGUUUGGCAAGACUUUGAUCUUAAAUGAUCUCGGGGAGAAUAGGUGUCAAACUGAUAAAAAUGUGCUUUCAAGUUGUUUGCCCAGACCAUGAUUGCACCGGGGCGGCCUUCAGACCUGGAAGCACCACUCCUAAAGGUAAGACCAACCGCAGCUUUCUGUGUCGGCUUGCUUUUUCCCUACAUUUCAGAACCAUCCCGUGGUCCUUUGUAUGUGGUCACCGAUAUAACGCACCUCAAAGAUGCUCCUUUUGGAAAGAACUGAGGUACCCAGAAGAAAUGCAUUCCCUCGGGCCCAGUCACUGUUGCAGAGAGAGCAGCUCAGUGCUGCCCUCCACUCCCUGUCAGGAGCUGUAUGGCCAUGAGCCCUCCCCUCAGCCCCUCUGCUUUGUGCCCAGCAAACCCAGGGGCUCAGCGCCCCUCAUCCAUCUUGUCCUCCAGACCCUUCACCAUCUCCGUAUGUUCAAACUUAGCUCAUAUUUUAGUGUUCUUCUCACUCUAUCUUUCCUAUCAAGCAUUUUUCUCCCUUCCCCGUAACUCUUAUGUUGACAGGGGGAGUGGUAGCACCACACACGAUUAAAUAUAUUGAAUUCUUCUCUUCCCAGUGUGUGAGUUGGAAUCAGAUCUUCAGAGACUUUUUAGCACUAUUUGCAGAACUCUGCCCAUUUCUACCUGUAGCAUUGAGAACUCCAAGCAAGGCAAGGAAAAUUUCCUCUCUGCUGGUUGAAAUUGGGGCUCUUAGAGUGGUCUACAGAUGCUCAGGCUUAAGAAAAUGCUUAUAUUUGAAACAGUAGCAGAUCCAGCUGCUUUGUGUCCGUGCACUUUGGCUUCCCACAAGUUUUUCUAGCAGAAAAAGCUUGGGUGGGUUACUGGGAAGUGUCAGGCUUGCUAAAUACCUUGCUGGAGCCCUCUGACAGCAGCUGUUAGCUACUGACAGCAAGAGAAGCAUUGCCAAAGUGCUGAGCUGCUCUGAGGGGAUGUGCAGGGUUAGAUUACCUUAUUGCUGCGUCACAAGGAAUGGACUGCUCACUUUAUUUUGCAUAUCCUGAACUGCAGCACCCCAGAACUUCCUUCUUCCAGGACGCCUCAUGCUGUCACUGCAAAACCGGCCCAAAAAGUGAGUGUCAUGGGGGAAAUAAAAACCGUUCUCACGAUGAGUCUGAAUACUUUGAUUUCAGGAAAACACCUCUGUGUCUGUCUGGAAGUGAUCACAGAUUUUCUAAAACGUCUCCAAAGAGGGAACAAUACCUCACUGCACUGCUUGAUUGCAUCUCCUCAGAGCUGUUUCCAUUGGCAUGCACAUGCACCUUUCUACUUACAGAGCACACAUCAUUUUUUCCAUCCCUUGUUUGGGAAGUGCUCAUCCUUUGGUCAGUGCAGAGUGGCUCGCUUCUCCUGUAGGCUGCCAAUGGUUGCAGUGUGUUGUGAUAUGGAAAGUGUUGUUUUUACGUUAUCCCGACACUAAAGAGUUAGGCUGGGGAGAAUUUCCUUAAUUUAAAAAACAGCAUUUGCUUCCAAGUGUUUAAGAUGAAAGCUUACAGCACAGAGUGGUUGAUCACCCAGUAGGUGAACACAGCUCAUAGAACUAUAGAAUAUCCUGCGUUGGAAGUGACCCAUAGGGGUCAUCAGGCCCAACUUCCGUCUCCUACCUCAGUAACGUAUAAAGUUACAAUUUAUGAAAUACAUAUUUCUGCCUGGAUUUUGGACAGCCUUAGAUGUUUUAAUAUGCUAAGCGGAGCAGUGCUGGUUGCAUACUGCUAUGUGAGACCAAGAGAGAGGUUGAAGCUCCUGUAAUUAACCGAGCACUCAGAGCACUAAUGAGCUUCAAGCAGCCACGGAGGAGCACUAAGUAGACACUUUCCACAGCACCCAGAGGGGACGCACCAAAGGUGCAUGACUUGAUCCUGCAGCAGAUGCAAGCCACAACCUGCUGUACCAGUAGUGUUGUGACAACCUGGGCUACACUGCUUUUGGAUCCAAGUGAGUGGGUAACCAGCACCAGGUCCUGCCCAGCGCUGUGAGUCAUGUUUUACACCCACAAAAAUGAUUUGUUCCCUCCCUGGCCCACUGGCCUUCCUUUGUUAGUGACUAAUGGUGGAUGCCUAGAGGAGAGCACAAGAACAGGCUGAGCACGUAACAACACUUCACUGCAAUAUUUUCCCAGCCUGGCACUCAAAGUCAGAGGCUCCUAGAUCUAGAAAUGUCGUUUUUUGGUUGCUUAAUUCUUGUUUGCACUGAUUUCCAUUUUCCUAGGAAAUUGCUUAAUGCACACAAUGUCCCAAGGCAAGGAAUCUGCUGGGAGAAGAGAGAUUGCAUUUGUUUUAAACCUCUCCCUUUGGCUUUCUCCCUUCCUCCGUCCUUUCAUUAGAAGAGACCUGGAACUCCACAUUCUCAUUCACCUUUUCCACACUACACCUGAUUUUCCCAUGAAGCUCAAUGUGAGCUCAUUGCCAUGGUGGUGUCUCCAGAGUGUGGUCAUAGAACCAUAGAAUGGCUUGGGUUGGAAGGGACCUUAAAGAUCAUGUAGUUCCAACCCCCUGCCAUAGGCUGGUUGCCACCCACCAGCUCAGGCUGCCCAGGGCCCCCUCCAACCUGGCCUUGAGCACCUCCAGGGAUGGGGCAUCCACAGCUCUCUGGGCAGCAGUGCCAAGGCCUCAACUCUCUCUGAGGAAAGGGUUUUCUCAUUCCCACACCUUCCCCUUCCUUCCCACCCAUGUCAUCUAGCAGUCCCUAGUGGCUGAUGGGGUGCAUGUCCCUGAUUUCUGCAGCACUGCAUGUGGCACCGCUUUUCCCCUUCCAACCUCAUUUUGUCCCCUAUCCAGAUGGUAAUUCCCAGAUGUGGAAAUCAGGGCUGUGAUCAUCCCUAUUCUCCUCAGCACAUUUCAUUCAGGGAAGGCUGCAUUCAAGCAUUUGCUUACUGGGUUUUAGGGUCACCAGCUUCAUCUGGGAAAUCUGACACAGCUGGGCAGUUAGUCAUGAGGAAAUAUCAGUGAUGGUAGGGGAGGAUUUGCAGAGAUGGGAGGGUGCAGGAGAUCAAACGAUUCUUAAAGUGCAAAGUCAGUGCUGGCCCAUUGCCUAGCUGGAUCCAACCCCCAAAAGCUUGUGUCAGAAUCUCUCAUGUUUCAGAGCUCCGCAGCUCUGGUUUAGAUCCCUCUCCACUUUGAUUACGAUUUUCAUAGAAUGAUGAAGGUUGGAAAAGACCCAUAAAAGCAGCACGUUCAGCCAUCAUGUUUUGCCCAACCAGGCUUCCUUCCUAGCACAGAAACAAGUUUGAGCAACAGGAUCUCUGCUUGCAGUGCCUCUGCUCCUGUAACAGCCCUGCUGUGGUCAGCAGGAGCAUUUUUGCGUGCACCUGAGCCCAACGUCUCUUCUUUCUCAGCAGAAUUCAGGUGUGGUGGUGGUGAUUUUUUAAUCAACGCAAUGACUUCCCUUGGAAACACAGAUUUUUCUAUCAUGAAUGCUUAGGAAAAUAUUAUUCAGCUAAUGUGUAAUGCAACACUCAGGUUGCAUUAGGUGAUGGGAUGUGAUAGAACACGAUGGUAAUGAGUCACCUCAUAUCAUGUUUUAUUGUGAUGUGUCAGCUGAGAAAGCUGAAGAGCUAAAGAUGUUUUUACCAGAACAAUUAUGAAACAACUGCUGGUUCAUGCAGAGAUUACUAAGUUUUUCCUAGGCUAGUUAGCUGAUAGGUUUAGGUCCGUGGUUUAGCAAUGUUUUGUUAAAGUUGCUAACAAUGAGUUGCUUCAGAACCUAUUUUCCACCCAGAGAAGUCAUCAGCCUGUUGUUGCCACGGGUCAACUUUAAAGCUGGAGUCAUCAGGUCAAGAGUGGCUCUCCAAGCCGAGGAGACAUGAUUUUAUUUUAGGGCUACUUUCUGCUGACUUCGACUAGAAAAAUGUAGUGAUACCAUCACCUGUUGCUGUCAAAGAGCUAACAGUAUGAGGGAAUGAUAUGGAAACGUAUAGAUGUGGUAUUCAGGGACAUGGUUUAGCAGGCAAUAUUGGUGGUAGGUGGAUGGUUGGACUAGAUGAUCUUAGAGGUCUUUUCCAACUAUAAUCAUCCUAAGAUUCUAUUCUAUGACAUUCAGGAAUUUAGAGACUGGCCUCAUGCUUUUCAGUUCAAUCCAAAGAUGCCCAGAGACAAGCAGACGAGCUCAUAGGGCUUCCUAGGCAGGCUUUUCCUUCCUAUUACUGCUGGCUGCACUACUGGCACUGGGUUAAAGCACUGUAGUCAUCAAGAAGCAGCAAACAGGAUCCUUCAGGAUUUCUGUUUAUUUUUUAAUAUGUGUUUGGGUGAGUUCUGACCAUCAGGAUUUGUACGUUCAGCUUCUCCUGCAGCGCCAUUUAUUGUGCAUGUGAGUGACCCUAGCAGUGGCUGUGGCGCCAUCGCUCUGCGCUUUCCUCUGGUGGUGACUCCUCUGCAGCCCCACUCCCUCAGCCCUGUAUCUCUCUGCAGCACAAAAAGCCAAUGUAGUUGAACGCUCUGGGGCUGUUUUCAUGUUGAUAAGCUGCAGGUAGGGUGGGACCUUUCCGCUGCUUUUUAUCCUACAGUUGGGCCUGUGGAGGGAAGCUGAAUAAUGGAAAUGUUAACAGACCUUUCGUUACACAUCUAUACAUCAUCACUUAAUUUCUUUACUUAUGUCUCCUGUUUAAUUUAUUUAUUUCCCCCCUGAUCAAUAGCAUUCAUCCUACUCAAUGAACAGACUUGAUACCGCUUUUAUGGUGUGAAAAUUACUGUUGCUUUGACUGGCUCCUAUUACCAGGUGACACUGCUCGGCAGAAAACAAUGAAUCUUCCUAUUAUUUGGAAAAUAAAUGUGAUUUAUGGGACUGACAAUCGAUAGUGGUCUGUGUCUUGCAGUCAGAGUGCUUGCUUUCCUGAUAUAAUGCUUUUACCUCUGGAGUGUGAAGGGUGUUUAUCCAGUGCUGCUGAGCUAUUUAUGAUAUAUAUGUAUUAAUCUCUGCUUUUAUCGAGAUUUUUUUCUAAAGGUGACGAUCAAGAAAACAUCUGUUUUUAAAGGUUUGAGGGCUGUUUGGAACAUGGUCGAGCAGGUGUGAAGCUGUGCUGGCAGGGAAGGAUGCA